AGAGUUUGAUCCUGGCUCAGGAUGAACGCUAGCUACAGGCUUAACACAUGCAAGUCGAGGGGCAGCAUGGACCCAGCUUUGCUGGGUUUGAUGGCGACCGGCGCACGGGUGAGUAACGCGUAUCCAACCUGCCCUUUACUCCGGGAUAGUCUCCUGAAAGGGAGUUUAAUACCGGAUGUGUUUGUCUUUCCGCAUGGGAGCGACAAAUAAAGAUUGAUUGGUAAAGGAUGGGGAUGCGUCCCAUUAGCUCGUUGGCGGGGUAACGGCCCACCAAGGCGACGAUGGGUAGGGGUUCUGAGAGGAAGGUCCCCCACAUUGGAACUGAGACACGGUCCAAACUCCUACGGGAGGCAGCAGUGAGGAAUAUUGGUCAAUGGGCGGGAGCCUGAACCAGCCAAGUAGCGUGAAGGACGACGGCCCUACGGGUUGUAAACUUCUUUUAUAAGGGAAUAAAGUUCGCCACGUGUGGUGUUUUGUAUGUACCUUAUGAAUAAGCAUCGGCUAAUUCCGUGCCAGCAGCCGCGGUAAUACGGAAGAUGCGAGCGUUAUCCGGAUUUAUUGGGUUUAAAGGGAGCGUAGGCGGGCUUUUAAGUCAGCGGUCAAAUGUCACGGCUCAACCGUGGCCAGCCGUUGAAACUGCAAGCCUUGAGUCUGCACAGGGCACAUGGAAUUCGUGGUGUAGCGGUGAAAUGCUUAGAUAUCACGAAGAACUCCGAUCGCGAAGGCAUUGUGCCGGGGCAUAACUGACGCUGAGGCUCGAAAGUGCGGGUAUCAAACAGGAUUAGAUACCCUGGUAGUCCGCACGGUAAACGAUGAAUGCUCGCUAUGGGCGAUAUAUUGUCCGUGGCCAAGCGAAAGCGUUAAGCAUUCCACCUGGGGAGUACGCCGGCAACGGUGAAACUCAAAGGAAUUGACGGGGGCCCGCACAAGCGGAGGAACAUGUGGUUUAAUUCGAUGAUACGCGAGGAACCUUACCCGGGCUUGAAUUGCAGGUGCAUGAGUCAGAGAUGAUUCUUUCCUUCGGGACUCCUGUGAAGGUGCUGCAUGGUUGUCGUCAGCUCGUGCCGUGAGGUGUCGGCUUAAGUGCCAUAACGAGCGCAACCCUUCUCCCCAGUUGCCAUCGGGUAAUGCCGGGCCCUCUGGGGACACUGCCAUCGUAAGAUGCGAGGAAGGUGGGGAUGACGUCAAAUCAGCACGGCCCUUACGUCCG
RNAcentral lists this ribosomal RNA (1210 nucleotides) under metagenome. RNAcentral's name for it is "bacterial SSU rRNA". It matches the Rfam family "Bacterial small subunit ribosomal RNA", at positions 8 to 1210 of the family's 1533-position model. The record is from RNAcentral.